CCUGGGUACAUUCAAAAUAGCUGUGCAAGACACCACACGUAUCGUUUACGGCGUUGUUGCUGUUUUUAGUACAGUCUGGCUUUAUUGACAAUUCAUUUAUUCAGUAGCCUAGGUGAGAGUAUAAGCUUUCUAACGAUGUAUAACAUGUCUAAUUUUGCUUUUGGAAUAGCGUUUUAUAGGUUAGCGUAACCGAACAUUUUCUUACCAUGGCAUUCGCUCUAUAUGGUAGCAUUAAAAGACGUUGCACCUAAUGAAACGUUGUCAACGAUUUUUCGUAAUUCCUUGGAAAAUACCAUUAUUAUUGAGGAAUUCUGGGCAUAGCUAAGCCAUAUGUUUGCUGAUAGACCUAUCUGACAUCGUUUUCUGGAGCAAAACAGAAGCGGAUAUAACUGUCAUUGAUUUACUGUCUCUGUCUCCAUCUACUGAACAUAGAUAAGAUUUAAUCAUUGCUAUGUAAGUAUUACUGCUCAAAAUAUUUCGGUUAUUACGUUAUUUUAGAAAUUGAGUGUCUUUAAAUAGGUUAGUGGUAUUAUGUAAUGUGGAUAUUUCACACUGUAAUGUAAGCAUUAGUUAGUAGUGUAAUGGUUUUUGUGACGCAUACAACAGUGAUGAGGAGAGUGUUGAAACAUUGCCAAAACGUGGUGGACGGCUGAAAAAUGUUUUUAUAUCGUCCCAUUCCCAUACAAGAAAACAUAGGAGUGUACAGAGUAUAGAAAUAGGCUACAUACAAGAGUUAAUUAUUACACAUUUAGGUACUGUGCAGCAUUGUGUGACUAUAUGUUUGCAUUAUGUUUAAAUUAUAUCUAUGUUUCAUCUUAAACCUUCAUAAGGGGCUCAUAUGCUUUACAA
Long non-coding RNA from Anguilla rostrata (American eel), 849 nucleotides. RefSeq lists it as uncharacterized. The transcript is spliced from 2 exons. The record is from RefSeq and is a predicted model, not a curated record. Lineage: Eukaryota; Metazoa; Chordata; Actinopteri; Anguilliformes; Anguillidae.